GACGAACGCUGGCGGCGUGCUUAACACAUGCCAGUCGAACGGAAAGGCCCCUUUGGGGGUCCUCGAGUGGCGAACGGGUGAGUAACACGUGAGUAACCUGCCCUUGACUUCGGGAUAACUUCAGGAAACUGGGGCUAAUACCGGAUAGGAAUCCUUGCUGCAUGGUGGGGGUUGGAAAGCUUCGGCGGUUUUGGAUGGACUCGCGGCUUAUCAGCUUGUUGGUGGGGUAGUGGCUUACCAAGGCUUUGACGGGUAGCCGGCCUGAGAGGGCGACCGGCCACAUUGGGACUGAGAUACGGCCCAGACUCCUACGGGAGGCAGCAGUGGGGAAUAUUGCACAAUGGGCGGAAGCCUGAUGCAGCAACGCCGCGUGCGGGAUGACGGCCUUCGGGUUGUAAACCGCUUUCAACAGGGGCGAAGCUUGUGGUGACGGUACCUGCAGAAGAAGCACCGGCUAACUACGUG
This 465-nucleotide ribosomal RNA is filed under the name uncultured bacterium. RNAcentral describes it as "partial 16S ribosomal RNA". It matches the Rfam family "Bacterial small subunit ribosomal RNA", at positions 28 to 507 of the family's 1533-position model. The record is from RNAcentral.